RNAcentral lists this ribosomal RNA (468 nucleotides) under uncultured bacterium. RNAcentral describes it as "partial 16S ribosomal RNA". It matches the Rfam family "Bacterial small subunit ribosomal RNA", at positions 28 to 507 of the family's 1533-position model. The record is from RNAcentral.
GACGAACGCUGGCGGCGUGCUUAACACAUGCAAGUCGAACGGAAAGGCCCAGCCUUUCUUGGGUACUCGAGUGGCGAACGGGUGAGUAACACGUGAGUAAUCUGCCCUUCACUUUGGGAUAACCUCAGGAAACUGGGGCUAAUACCGGAUAGGAGCUCCUGCUGCAUGGUGGGGGUGGGAAAGUUUCGGCGGUUGGGUAUGGACGCGGCGCUUAUCAGUUUGUUGGUGGGGUAGUGGCUUACCAGGGCUUUGACGGGUAGCGGGCGUGAGAGGGUGAGCGGACACAUGGGGACUGAGAUGGGGCACAGACUCCCGGGAGAGGGCAGAGUGGGGAAUAGCACACUAUGGGCGGGCGUGAGAUGGAGCAGCGCCGCGUGGGGGGAGGGGGCUUGCGGGGUGUAAACCGCUUUCGCGUGAGACGGAGCGUGUGUGACGGUAAUGGGUGAAGAAGCACCGGCUAACUACGUG